Molecule: long non-coding RNA, 260 nt
Filed under: Elaeis guineensis (African oil palm)
Lineage: Eukaryota; Viridiplantae; Streptophyta; Magnoliopsida; Arecales; Arecaceae
Description: long non-coding RNA (EGUI_LNC053537)
Source: RNAcentral
AACCGCUCAGAGCCGUGUGGAGUUUGUUAUGGAGAGUAGUGGCGUCAGAGGUCGUUCAGGGCCACGUGGAGCCCGUUGUGGAGAGUGGAGUGGUGUCCAUUGUUGGGACUUGCCAGAGAGUGGUGGAGCUGCAUGAAAUCCAUUGCAGAGAGUGGAGCAGGACGGUGGCUCUUGUCGUGGCUUGUUAGAGAGUGGUGUAGCUACAUGGAAUCCGUUGCAGAGAGUGGAGCAGGAUGUUGGUUCUUAUCGUGGCUUGUCAG